GAUGAAGAACGCAGCGAAAUGCGAUAAGUAAUGUGAAUUGCAGAAUUCAGUGAAUCAUCGAAUCUUUGAACGCACAUUGCGCCCCUUGGUAUUCCGAGGGGCAUGCCUGUUCGAGCGUCAUUAUAACCCUCAAGCUCAGCUUGGUGUUGGGGCCUGCUGCAGUGGCAGCCCUUAAAAUCAGUGGCGGCGCCAUCUGGCUCUAAGCGUAGUAAUUCUUCUCGCUAUGGAGUCCUGGUGGAUGCUUGCCAUCAACCCCCAAUUUUUCUAUGGUUGACCUCGGAUCAGGUAGGGAUACCCGCUGAACUUAAGCAUAUCAUAAGCGGAGGA
RNAcentral lists this unclassified non-coding RNA (327 nucleotides) under soil metagenome. RNAcentral's name for it is "partial contains 5.8S ribosomal RNA, internal transcribed spacer 2, and large subunit ribosomal RNA". The stretch from base 1 to 120 matches the Rfam family "5.8S ribosomal RNA", at positions 35 to 154 of the family's 154-position model. The record is from RNAcentral.